AGUGAGCGCUGGCGGUAGGCCUAACACAUGCAAGUCGAACGGCAGCACAGUAAGAGCUUGCUCUUACGGGUGGCGAGUGGCGGACGGGUGAGGAAUACAUCGGAAUCUACUUUUUCGUGGGGGAUAACGUAGGGAAACUUACGCUAAUACCGCAUACGACCUACGGGUGAAAGCAGGGGAUCUUCGGACCUUGCGCGAUUGAAUGAGCCGAUGUCGGAUUAGCUAGUUGGCGGGGUAAAGGCCCACCAAGGCGACGAUCCGUAGCUGGUCUGAGAGGAUGAUCAGCCACACUGGGAAUGAGAAAAGGUCCAGAAUCCUAAGGGAGGCAGCAGUGGGGAAUAUUGGACAAUGGGCGGAAGCCUGAUCCAGCCAUACCGCGUGGGUGAAGAAGGCCUUCGGGUUGUAAAGCCCUUUUGUUGGGAAAGAAAAGCAGCAGGUUAAUACCCCGCUGUUCUGACGGUACCCAAAGAAUAAGCACCGGCUAACUUCGUG
RNAcentral lists this ribosomal RNA (492 nucleotides) under uncultured bacterium. RNAcentral describes it as "partial 16S ribosomal RNA". It matches the Rfam family "Bacterial small subunit ribosomal RNA", at positions 29 to 507 of the family's 1533-position model. The record is from RNAcentral.